GCCAGACUCCUACGGGAGGCAGCAGUGGGGAAUAUUGCACAAUGGGGGAAACCCUGAUGCAGCAACGCCGCGUGAGUGAAGAAGUAUUUCGGUAUGUAAAGCUCUAUCAGCAGGGAAGAAGAUGACGGUACCUGAAUAAGAAGCCCCGGCUAACUACGUGCCAGCAGCCGCGGUAAUACGUAGGGGGCAAGCGUUAUCCGGAUUUACUGGGUGUAAAGGGAGCGUAGACGGCAAUACAAGUCGGAAGUGAAAUACCCGGGCUUAACCUGGGAACUGCUUUGGAAACUGUAUGGCUGGAGUGCUGGAGAGGUAAGCGGAAUUCCUAGUGUAGCGGUGAAAUGCGUAGAUAUUAGGAGGAACACCAGUGGCGAAGGCGGCUUACUGGACAGUAACUGACGUUGAGGCUCGAAAGCGUGGGGAGCAAACAGGAUUAGAUACCCCCGUAA
RNAcentral lists this ribosomal RNA (446 nucleotides) under uncultured bacterium. Its description in RNAcentral is "partial 16S ribosomal RNA". It matches the Rfam family "Bacterial small subunit ribosomal RNA", at positions 330 to 793 of the family's 1533-position model. The record is from RNAcentral.